AUUCCAGCUUAUUUCAUAAUUAGUAGAAACAAACAUUUGUUUCCAAUGUGAAAUUCAUUUUCAUGAUAUUCACAUUGCAGAUUAAUAUUCCAACUAAGAUUUGUUUAGAACAGCGUAUCACGGAAUACUGUAACUGCUACUCGCCAUCAUUUGUUGGAUUAUGAACGUCCAGAUUCUGUUUUUGACUGCUUCCGUUGGUUAUAUUUGUGGAUGUCCUCUGGGUUACUUUGGUCAGAAUUGUGAACACGCAUGUCGACAUCCCAGUUAUGGUAAAGACUGCCAGAGUCUAUGUAUAUGUGCACCGGAGAUCUGUAAUCACUCCACCGGAUGUCCUGGAUAAGAUGACGAUAACGAACAGUGAUCAAUCUCAUAACUCCCAUAAGGAAUACAAACUAGAGAGUUGGGCAAACACGGGCCCCCGGAUAUACCAGAGAUGGAAUCAAGUGCCCAGGAGGAGUAAACAUCUCAUGUCGACCGGUCACACCCGCCGUGAGCCCUAUAUCCUGAUCAGAUGGCACUGUAACAAAGGAGUUCAAUUACCAACAUAGCACCUUUCCCACAAUCAAUGACACUACGUUGUCAAAGAAGAAAUUAGAAAUCCUUUACAUUUCCCCUGAUUUGGUAAUUGCAAAUCAGAAAGACUUCAGCAGUGGAUCAUCACUGUGGACACCAUUAAAUACCACACACAGAGUAAUGUUUGUCAGCGUGGUCAUUAUAUCAGCAGUUCUUCUGAUUCUUACUGGGAUUUACAUCAGAAUAAAGAUACAAGAACACAUGUGCUUUUAUCAGUUUAACCUUGUGGAAUUUCGUUCACAAAACAGAAACGCUUCUUUUGGCAAUUCAUCUGUUUAAUCAUCAACGCAAAGAUAAAGCAAAUAGUUUAUAAUCCUUUAUUCAAACAUAUACGUAAAUGAGAGAGACCGCCGAUUCUCUGUGGCGGGAGCGUAUGUUCCUAGUUUAGCAGUACCCUCACCGGGAUGCAUACAAGCAGAGCGAAAACUUACAGCAAUAUUUAUUUGUACAACGAUUGUUGACAUGUCGACGAAAAGUUAAAGAUAACGAACAGUGUCGAUCUAAUAAGUUUUCAAGCACUAUGGCGUCUAUAACGUUCUUGAUUAACGGAGGAAUUACCGGAAUGGGGAAAUACCAAUGAUGGAAAUUUCAUGGAAUGUAAUAACAGGCCUUUUGAUUGAUCUAUUUUGUAUAUGACUUAUCAAGCCUAACUUAUAGCAUGCAUGCCGAAAGAGCUGUUUAUGAGUACUGUAGAUCGUUAGAACAUGUAAUGUUGUACAUUGUAUAUUAUUUUUAAAGUACAUUAAGUAUUUUGAAUGUAAUGAUUGUCUGCAUUUUGCAACCAUAUUAGAAACUUUAACUACCUGUCGAAUAAUUAGGAUGAUAUUGUUUGGAGAUAAAACUAGUAUACAAGAUAAGAAAUCUGAAAAGCAUCGAUGUACGUAAAUUUUACAUGGCAAAAUACAGAAUUAGGUUUAAAAAACUAGGCAUGAUUUACAAUUUAAAUGCAAGUGUUAAAUUAUUCGGGUGUCGUGUAUAAACGGUUUUAACAAAUUGUCAUGACUAAGAUAAAUAUUAAUUAUGCAAACUUCAUAUUCAGUUUUCAUAAAUUAAUAAUUUUCAUGACUUGAUUAAAAAUAUUUGUUGAUCUAUUUAGAGUAUACGAGGAAGGAAAAGAAAGUGGGCUAUAUUUCAUAACAAAUAGCUCUUUAGGUUUUUCUGUGUGUCAGAAAUAAAAAAAAAGCGAAAAUAAAACCCAACAAAGUA
Molecule: RNA transcript, 1779 nt
Organism: Ostrea edulis (European flat oyster)
Lineage: Eukaryota; Metazoa; Mollusca; Bivalvia; Ostreida; Ostreidae
Exons: 5
Source: RefSeq, a predicted model, not a curated record